RNAcentral lists this ribosomal RNA (394 nucleotides) under uncultured bacterium. RNAcentral describes it as "bacterial SSU rRNA". It matches the Rfam family "Bacterial small subunit ribosomal RNA", at positions 110 to 518 of the family's 1533-position model. The record is from RNAcentral.
GUAACGCGUGAGGAACCUGUCUUCUACAGGGGGAUAACGGUCCGAAAGGAUUGCUAAUACCGCAUAAGACCACAGAAUCGCAUGGUUCAGGGGUCAAAGGAGAAAUCCGGUAGAAGGUGGACUCGCGUCCCAUUAGAUAGUUGGUGAGGUAACGGCCCACCAAGUCGACGAUGGGUAGCCGACCUGAGAGGGUGAUCGGCCACAUUGGAACUGAGAUACGGUCCAGACUCCUACGGGAGGCAGCAGUGGGGAAUAUUGGGCAAUGGGCGAAAGCCCUGACCCAGCAACGCCGCGUGAGGGAAGAAGGUCUUCGGGUUGUAAACCUCUGUCCUUGGUGAAAAGGAAGGAUGGUAGCCAAGGAGGAAGCUCCGGCUAACUACGUGCCAGCAGCCGC